Molecule: long non-coding RNA, 282 nt
Filed under: Carica papaya (papaya)
Lineage: Eukaryota; Viridiplantae; Streptophyta; Magnoliopsida; Brassicales; Caricaceae
Description: long non-coding RNA (CPAP_LNC016437)
Source: RNAcentral
UUCGUUAUGUUAAUUUAUUCUAUAACAGUAAGGUUCCCUCUAAGAUUAAUGUGCUUAUACAAGUAGCAACUCUUAGUAGGUUUAAUACCCAUGACUUACUGCAAAAGAAUUAACCAAAUCGAGCUAUCUCUCCGAACAUUUGCUUUAUGUGUUGACAGAGUGAGAGACACAUGGUCACCUUUUUCGGCAUUGUGAUAUGGCAUAGAGUUUGAGGUCAACGUUGUUUGGCCUUUUUGGAAUCUAUUGAAUUGAACCCCUUUGGGUGAAUUCUUUGUUUACUAU